This 2153-nucleotide long non-coding RNA is filed under the name Monomorium pharaonis (pharaoh ant). Its description in RNAcentral is "uncharacterized LOC118644837". The record is from RNAcentral. Lineage: Eukaryota; Metazoa; Arthropoda; Insecta; Hymenoptera; Formicidae.
AUAUAAUGAUCGCGCGGUCUUUCAGAGCUCGCGCGAUUCGAUCUUGAGUACAAGUUCAAUCUCGGCUCGGUCGAACUGUAUAGUAGAUAUAACUCUUGAGAAGAGAAAAUCGCGUCCGCCGGUAGCAGAUGUGGGAAAGGCAGAGUGUCGCAUCAGCGGUACUCGACCCGUCAUCCCAUCCCCCCAUCGCAUCGAUGCAGUUACGGCCAUUACAGCAUUUUAUGGAGUACUUUUAUCAGCCAGCUGCGAGCCGUACGACCGGAGGGACGCGGCAGUAGUAACGGAACGCUGUGGUCAGACGCGCCGGCCGCUGAUGGAGCGUGGCUACACGUCGAUCGACACUUAACCGCUCUUUGAAUUAGGAUUACUAUGUAAUUUGCCAGUGCACUUUCGUAUUACGAUCAAUCUUUUAUAUUUUGUGUUUUAAUGCGUUCAGAGCACAUGGCUCAUCUUUCGCUGAUGUGUCUCAGAAUCAAUUAAAAUUUCUAAGCAUCAACUAAAUUUAUUAUACAUAUGUGUUACGUAUAUCAAAACAAAAUCGAUUUUGUACGGCUUCGCGUCGCACUGAACGAACUACGUCUUUCAGUGAAUGUGUGUAAAAUAUUUCUCGUAACAGAAAAUUACUAUCAACGUGUAAAUUCUAAUUAAAAUGCAGAUUACAUUUGCCUGAGUAAAGGAGAAAGAACAUGACGACGAGAGAUUACAUCUCGCUACGAUGCGAUCGCGUAGGAGCAAUUAAUAUUCUAUCUUAAUGGAUCCCAUUCGUGUAGCGUGGAGCCGUUUGAAAUUCCGCAGCGAAUCGAGUAAGUCCAGAGUCAGAUUACAGUCGGGGAAUGGUACACCGGCCAUUAACAGUCUAUUCUAUAAAUUUCGAUCGAUCUUUGCGGUGAUCGUUAAAAGCGGCGGAAUAAAACUCGUCAAACAGGUCAGCUAGAUCGUGAUGAAUCGCAAUCAAAAGCGGCGCUGACGAACAAUGAUGGAAGGGUCGGGCUAAGUUCAUGACCUUUAAGACUUUAUAAAGUUUAUAAAGUACCAGUAAAUCCGGGGGACGGUUCGUACGGCCAAUUCUCUUCGACUUAAGUCGCAACCGUUCGCUAUUAGGUAACUCGAAAGUUCUAAGAUAUUUAGGGCGAUCAUAUUACGGAUUACAUGGUUCUCUGUGUACGCGUAUCUCGCAAUAAAUUAAUAUGCCAGCUCGCAUUAAUUACUCGCUUCUCGUUUAUAAUACGCGUAUAACUAAUCGCAGAUAAUCGCGAGUUCAUUUCGAAUUAUUCAAGAAUUAUACGUCGGCUUUAAUCAACAAACGGAUGAAGCUGCUAUCGACGCAAACAAUGUGCCCCGGGUAUUUAUUGCGGUUGCUAAUACCGGUUUAUUGGGAUGUAAAAUGAGGCGACUUUGUGCUGACACGCUCACUUUGCUCUUGGCCCAAGUUUACUGACAUCAAAUAGCUCGAUAGAAGACACCAAUGUUUCUCAAGAUAAGUAAAAGUUUGCGUGAGACUGUUACUAAUAAUUAUCUAAUUUAAUAGUAUAAAACACAAAGUUUAUACACUAUCUUCAUUUCAAUUUAAUUUGAUAAGUAUGUAACAGGGUAAUGAAAGCGUGCGCAUUUUAUUAAGUAAGAAAAAUACACUUAUUUCGUUAAUUUUUAAAUUAACUUAAUAUAUUUUUCUAAUAAAAAAAUGAUCGAAUGACGCAGUCUUUUUCAAAUUAUAAGAUAUAUUUUAUAAAGAUUAAAAUCUCUAAUUAUUCAAAAUAGAUAUGUUUUACUAUGUAUGCACACAUACACACAUAUGCGCGGUAAUUUUUAUUCUGGUCAAUCAUGUAAACAAAUAAUCUUGAAAUUAUCGACGUAAUGUUUUUAAUAAUAAAUAAAUUGUACAAUUCGCUUUCACACAUAAUGCUAUCGCUGGUGGCUGUAAACACACAGUAAUGUGUCGAUACAGUUUUCUCCAAAUAGUUCUCUAUAUCACUGAAUAUGCAAACACAUAGCAGAUAAAUUGAUGAAAAUAAUAUAUUAAACAAAUCCUCAGCGAUAAACAUAUAAUAUCGGAAACUGAGUAAUAUGUAAACAUCGUUUGUAAAAUUGGAUUUGUCGAUGAUAUAAUCGUCGCUUGAUUAUAAAUAUCAUUAAAUAUCUAAAAGAAAAAAAAA